AGUGAACGCUGGCGGUAGGCCUAACACAUGCAAGUCGAACGGCAGCACAGUAAGAGCUUGCUCUUACGGGUGGCGAGUGACGGACGGGUGAGGAAUACAUCGGAAUCUACUUUUUCGUGGGGGAUAACGUAGGGAAACUUACGCUAAUACCGCAUACGACCUACGGGUGAAAGCAGGGGAUCCUCGGACCUUGCGCGAUUGAAUGAGCCGAUGUCGGAUUAGCUAGUUGGCGGGGUAAAGGCCCACCAAGGCGACGAUCCGUAGCUGGUCUGAGAGGAUGAUCAGCCACACUGGAACUGAGACACGGUCCAGACUCCUACGGGAGGCAGCAGUGGGGAAUAUUGGACAAUGGGCGCAAGCCUGAUCCAGCCAUACCGCGUGGGUGAAGAAGGCCUUCGGGUUGUAAAGCCCUUUUGUUGGGAAAGAAAAGCAGCAGGUUAAUACCCCGCUGUUCUGACGGUACCCAAAGAAUAAGCACCGGCUAACUUCGUG
This 492-nucleotide ribosomal RNA is filed under the name uncultured bacterium. RNAcentral describes it as "partial 16S ribosomal RNA". It matches the Rfam family "Bacterial small subunit ribosomal RNA", at positions 29 to 507 of the family's 1533-position model. The record is from RNAcentral.